GGCUCUGUGAUUACAUGCCUAAGUUUCAAGGCAAUAUACGCUAUUCCGAUGCCCAAGUGAGCAGAAGUUUUGAAUUAAAUAUGAGAGCU
This is a small nucleolar RNA of Mangifera indica (mango), 89 nucleotides long. RefSeq annotates it as small nucleolar RNA U54. NCBI's taxonomy places the organism in Eukaryota, Viridiplantae, Streptophyta, Magnoliopsida, Sapindales, Anacardiaceae. The record is from RefSeq and is a predicted model, not a curated record. The transcript has a single exon.